This 640-nucleotide ribosomal RNA is filed under the name uncultured archaeon. Its description in RNAcentral is "bacterial SSU rRNA". It matches the Rfam family "Archaeal small subunit ribosomal RNA", at positions 82 to 724 of the family's 1478-position model. The record is from RNAcentral.
CAGACGGCUCAGUAACACGUGGUCAACCUAACCUGUGGACGUGGAUAACCUCGGGAAACUGAGGAUAAACCACGAUAGAUCACAGUGCCUGGAAUGGCUUAUUGUCCAAACAGUUUACUGCCACGGGAUGGGACUGCGGCCUAUCAGCUUGUUGGUGAGGUAAUGGCCCACCAAGGCUAUUACAGGUACGGGCUCUGAGAGGAGAAGCCCGGAGAUGGGUACUGAGACACGGACCCAGGCCCUAUGGGGCGCAGCAGGCGAGAAACCUUAGCAAUGUGCGAAAGCACGACUGGGUCAGUCCGAGUGAUUUCUGAUAAAGGAAUCUUUUGCCUGUCCUAAAAGCACAGGUGAAUAAGGGGUGGGCAAGUCUGGUGUCAGCCGCCGCGGUAAUACCAGCACCUCGAGUGGUCAGGACGAUUAUUGGGCCUAAAGCAUCCGUAGCUGGUUCUGCAAGUCUCCGGUUAAAUCCACCUGCUUAACAGAUGGGCCGCUGGAGAUACUACAAAACUAGGGAGUGGGAGAGGCAGACGGUAUUCAGUGGGUAGGGGUAAAAUCCUCUGAUCCUUUGAGGACCACCUGUGGCGAAGGCGGUCUGCCAUAACACGUUCGACGGUGAGGGAUGAAAGCUGGGGGAGCCACC